This 2891-nucleotide long non-coding RNA is filed under the name Ananas comosus (pineapple). RNAcentral's name for it is "long non-coding RNA (ACOM_LNC008841)". Lineage: Eukaryota; Viridiplantae; Streptophyta; Magnoliopsida; Poales; Bromeliaceae. The record is from RNAcentral.
CGAGUCACCUGCUGCCACUAAACAUAGAUAAUCGUGCAUCAUGACAGCAAACACAACUCCUCGUGUCGAAACAAUUAUCGUCGGAUAAUCGUUUCGAUUCGGGUUCCCGAAAGUGUCUAAUUCGACACCGGAACCUACCGUCGCUCACCCGCCAUUUUCGAACCCUCAAGAUGAUGCGAGUGAACUGCCAACAAGGCUCAGCGACAAAACACGGAGCAACCAAACACCGUCGGAAAGAAUCCGAACCGGAAUCGCGUUCUUUCGGCGAAUUUCGCCGAAAAACGCACCGAAAUCAACCUUUCGAUUUCCGCGGAAGCUAACGGAUCAUGGACAAUCAGUCCAGAGGUCAAAAACACUCACGGGCACUGCCCACAGUAGCCACACGAUGCAUAAUUGCAUAAAAGCCCCUCAAUUUACAUAAAAUUCUAUCAUUUUAUGUAAUUUGAGCGAUCAAGCGACUCGUUCACGCAAACCGAGGACUUCCAAAGUCCGCAGAGACACGUACUGACAGGUCUCGACGUACCGGAGUCCGUGCUCACGAUCCGGAGCACAGCGGCUCGCUGUGGGAAGCGCGGGAGCAACCCGAAGGUUCAGCGAAUAGCGCGCAGUCAAGGAAGAUCGCGCCGAACAGGACUAACCGGACACUUCAGAUCCAAGGGAAGGUGAGCAUUGUGAUCAGCACUGACCAGCGGUCACCAUGCUCACCUCCGGAGGCAUCGUAACAGCCUCGGAUCGCCGGAAAAAUAAGCACAAACCCGAAACAGCAGCCAAAAAGGCUGAAACGGAGCGACGUUGUCAAAACAAGGUCGAACGCGGCGCGGAUUACCGGGGCACCAUCAUAUGUGAGGGGUGCCGUUAGGUGAAGCCGUGGGUUAGGGCGUGCCCGCUCGUUGACAGCGCAUCCGGUUGAGGCCUCACGGCCGAACAUCCCUCGAUGGGAGUGUUCGCACACGCUUACUCGUGCUACCGUUCGUUCGUUUUAGGUAACAGGUGUACAGUGUUAAAAGUAUAAAAGUUACGUUCAAGAAUGGAAGCUAGGAAACUAGCCUUAAAGUUAUGUGUCUAUCAUUGUUCUCGAUCAUUAGUGAUCUAACAUUUGUACAUUCCCAUUUCGAUUUAGUAUAUCGUAAUAUUAAAAAAGUGAUCAUACCGUGAUCGUUGUAUCAGGUCUCGUACAGUAUCAAGAGAUGAAAUUUCACGUAGGAUGUGAACAAGUAUUCAGUAAGUUGACUUAACUGAUACUUAUAUUUAUGAAGUACAUAUUCAUAAGAGAUGAAAUAUUUCUGAAAUAAAGCUUAUAUAAGUUGUAAUUCUACUGCUUACAGUUCGGGAAAUAGUUAGUGUAUUCGUGUGUUUUUCUGGUAAAGAUAUUAUAUAUAUCUUGUAUCUCCCCAAAGUGAACGAGACCAAUCCAGGCUGGGUGGAUCAUGAUCCGAGGUUUAUAGGUGUUCUUCAGGGUGUUGCCGAGUUGCUUCGGGGUUACGACGACUUUUUGUUUGCAGUUCUAGCCUAAUUUAGAUGCCGGCUUUACAGACUAAAGCUGGAUUUAAGGUGAAUCAUGUUUCAUUGAGAAAUUUAAGGACAAAACCCUGAUCACAUUAUGGAGUUCUCUGCAGAGGUUCUCGAGAGUGUUCAGUUGCUUGCUACUAGGUUCCGAGUCAGCGUGAGAACGACGCUCGUUUUAGUUUUGCCGUAGUUUGAGCAGUAUAUAAUCGUUGAAAUCAGCCUUAGAACGUUAAAGUCGAAAGAUUGACUUUAAGAACGAAUGGAAUCCAAUCUCAUGGAAGAUUUGGUCGGAGGGUCCAGUGAUUUUAUCGAAUUAUACUAAGCGUUUGGACGAUACUUCUUUUUUCGCGUUUGAUAUAGUUCAACGCCGUUUUUGAGCGCAAAUUAAGGUUUAAGUGAAGUAUUACUUGAUCCAAUGUGUUAGUUCGAAAUUUUAUCGAAUAGGGACCAGAUUUUCCAAAUGAAGUGUCGAUUAAUUAGGUUGAAAUUAACGUCUUUUGAGUCUGAUUUCGUCGAUCUUCGUUUUUGGGCUUUAGUAAUGAGUUUAGCUGCUUAUCUUGCAGCUAUUGCCGCUUUCACUCAGCUAAUGGAAGAGUUCGAAGGUUGGUCACUGGACGACCAAGUCUCGACGUUCCUUGGAAGGUUCUGUGAGGAAGGGAGCAGCCUUUAUCGAGACGCUGUACGAGUUCGUCGCUUUUUGGUUGCUCCGCUUCUUUAGCUCGCUUAAGCCGCUAAAGAUACAUCUCUCUCUUUUUGGGAUCUCUCUCUCUCUUCUUCUUCCACGUUCCAAUGAAGAGACCGGAGAUCAUUGGAGGUGACUCGGAGUCUCUGCACGACCCAAGUUUAUCUAUCCGAGUUCUACACUUUACUGGUUUUAUCGGAACGACGGUGCUUAGACGGUCGAACAUGGCCAUGUUCCAUUACCGACAUGGCCAUGUCGUUCGUCUUUUACGAUUUAAAAGCGUCUAGCUACGUAAAAGAGUGAAAAUCGUAAGGUUAGUAGGAGAUUGAAUAGGUUUUUGAACAAGAUUGGAAAAUCUUGUACAUCCUAUCUAGGUGUGAAGUAAGGUGUGCGAGCUUGAGACGUUAAACGUUUUCAAGUCACAUAAUGUCGGCACGGCGGCCUCCGGCCGGCCUCGUUCCAACGAGGCCGGUUCGGGCUUUAUUCCGAAUCACUCACCCAAAGAACAAGACCCGAAGGGCUCGAAAGGGCUAGAGAUGCCUUCCCUCGUGCUACUAGGACCAUUCAAAGACUAGUAGCACGAGUGGAACCUAAGACAGCCCUUCCAGGGCAAGGCNACCUCCGGAGGCAUCGUAACAGCCUCGGAUCGCCGGAAAAAUAAGCACAAACCCGAAACAGCAGCCAAAAAGGCUGAAACGGAGCG